GAGUCUUCGGAGGGGUUCUUAUCUUGAUAUAAACUAGCUCUGAAAACUUGGGCAAGUCUCUUACUGACUUUGAUAAUAAAACCUAUUUUAAAGAGUUGCUGUUAAGCUCAGAAUGAGAUGGGGUCUGCGGACAGCCGUAGAGAGAUGGAAGGGGUUAUUUUUGCUGCGUGGGCAGCAGCUGGGAAGGAACGCUGGGGUAACCCAGACACGGUGUAGGACACAACUUCUCAAAAGUAAACGCGUUUGAAUCACCGGGGAAUCUCACUAAAAGUCAGGAUCUGGCCUGGAGCCCAGCGGCAGGGCCUGCGAUUCCUGCUUUUUAACAAGCUUCCAGGUGAGGCUGAAGCAGCUGAAGUUGGUAAGACUUUAAGUAACAAGCAUCCGGGAAAAGAGACCCCGCGGGUGCAGGGGUCAGGCCCGCCUGAAUCCCAGCCCCUCCUCCACCACCCCCAGCUGUGGGCCUCAGGCAGGGCCAAGGGCCCUUUACAGAUGAGCAGAUAUUACCAGCUUUGCACCCAGACCUCCAACAACCAGGAUUCACCUCCUUCCUCCUUGUGGGACGGAAGACAGGACACACCCAGUACAGAGAGGGUCCCGGCAGAGUGGGGUAGAAUUUUGCAAAGCAUCUGCCCAAUCAGGACUCCAUUGAACAGCCCCUCGUGGCAUCCUGGUGGGACCAUAUGACUAGUUCUUGUCAAAGAAAUAUGAGCAAAAAUGAUGUGUGGACUCCAAGCCAAGAAUGCCAUGCACCUCUUGCAAAGAAUGAAUGUUUACGUGCUGAGAUGGAGAGAAGCCCUCAAUAAAAGGACAUUGAAGAUACAUAGGUACUGAGUAUACGCAAGUCUGACC
This is a long non-coding RNA of Hippopotamus amphibius kiboko, 849 nucleotides long. RefSeq lists it as uncharacterized. The record is from RefSeq and is a predicted model, not a curated record. The transcript has 3 exons. Lineage: Eukaryota; Metazoa; Chordata; Mammalia; Artiodactyla; Hippopotamidae.